UGCAUAACAAAAAAGCGGAGGAAAAGAAACCAACCGGGAUUGCCUUAGUAACGGCGAGUGAAGCGGCAAAAGCUCAAAUUUGAAAUCUGGUACCUUUGGUGCCCGAGUUGUAAUUUGUAGAAGGUAACUUUGGGGCUGGUCCUUGUCUAUGUUCCUUGGAACAGGACGUCAUAGAGGGUGAGAAUCCCGUGUGGCGAGGAUCCCAGUUCUUUGUAAAGUGCUUUCGAAGAGUCGAGUUGUUUGGGAAUGCAGCUCUAAGUGGGUGGUAAAUUCCAUCUAAAGCUAAAUAUUGGCGAGAGACCGAUAGCGAACAAGUACAGUGAUGGAAAGAUGAAAAGAACUUUGAAAAGAGAGUGAAAAAGUACGUGAAAUUGUUGAAAGGGAAGGGCAUUUGAUCAGACAUGGUGUUUUGCGCCCUCUGCUCCUUGUGGGUGGGGGAAUCUCGCAGUUCACUGGGCCAGCAUCGGUUUUGGCGGCAGGAUAAAUCUUCAGGAAUGUAGCUUGCCUCGGUAAGUGUUAUAUCCUGGAGGAAUACUGCCAGCUGGGACUGAGGACUGCGACUUUACGUCAAGGAUGCUGGCAUAAUGGUUAUAUGCCGCCCGUCUUGAA
RNAcentral lists this ribosomal RNA (609 nucleotides) under Torulaspora quercuum. RNAcentral describes it as "partial large subunit ribosomal RNA". It matches the Rfam family "Eukaryotic large subunit ribosomal RNA", at positions 37 to 658 of the family's 3401-position model. Lineage: Eukaryota; Fungi; Ascomycota; Saccharomycetes; Saccharomycetales; Saccharomycetaceae. The record is from RNAcentral.